Long non-coding RNA from Talpa occidentalis (Iberian mole), 452 nucleotides. RefSeq lists it as uncharacterized. The transcript has 3 exons. The record is from RefSeq and is a predicted model, not a curated record. NCBI's taxonomy places the organism in Eukaryota, Metazoa, Chordata, Mammalia, Eulipotyphla, Talpidae.
CACAUAGGCAAAGGCCAUGUUCAGAUGCACAAGCUCACACUCAAGGUCACUCAGGACAGUGAGUCCACAGAGUGUAAUUAGCAACAACCCAAAUGUCCAUAAGUGGGGAGCUGGCUAAAUGAAUGAGGACACAUGGAGGAUGGUGGAGUACUAUGCAGCUCUUAAAAAGAAUGAGGACUCUCUCUGGGCACCACUCUGAAGAUCUGUUCUCCACCCUUCUCUGCCCCUCGGGAAGCUGACUUAUACAUCCUGCAUCACCCAUGGAGUCAUGAGCAGGACACCAGAGGUGGUCAGUGAUACAGGGUGAUUUGAAGUAAGAAUUCCUGUUCUAGAGCCAGUCUGCUUGGCCUCCUAUCUUGACCUUGCCACUUCUUUGCCACAUGACCUUUUGUAAGUGAUUCCACCUCUCUGUGUCUCUGCCUAUCAAAUGUGGGUGUCAUAAUAGUAUCUAC